UACGUAGGGAGCAAGCGUUGUUCGGAAUUAUUGGGCGUAAAGAGCGCGUAGGCGGCCUGGUAAGUCUGACGUGAAAUCCCGGAGCUCAACUCCGGAACUGCGUUGGAUACUGCCGGGCUCGAGUGUGGGAGAGGAGAGUGGAAUUCCCAGUGUAGAGGUGAAAUUCGUAGAUAUUGGGAGGAACACCGGUGGCGAAGGCGGCUCUCUGGACCACAACUGACGCUGAGGCGCGAAAGCCAGGGUAGCAAACGGG
This 253-nucleotide ribosomal RNA is filed under the name uncultured bacterium. RNAcentral describes it as "partial 16S ribosomal RNA". It matches the Rfam family "Bacterial small subunit ribosomal RNA", at positions 524 to 776 of the family's 1533-position model. The record is from RNAcentral.